GCAGAGUAGGAAGCUGCGGGUUAAGUGUCUGAAGGACGGGGAGUUGCCUUCGGAACGAAAAAAGGAUACAUCCUUUUGCCGUGUGGUUUCCGCAUCCCGCUGC
This 103-nucleotide non-coding RNA is filed under the name human gut metagenome. Its description in RNAcentral is "THF riboswitch". It matches the Rfam family "THF (Tetrahydrofolate) riboswitch aptamer". Rfam says of the family: THF riboswitch presents a pseudoknot that joins P1-P2 and the loop of P3 and two THF binding. The record is from RNAcentral.